AAUCUACCCUUAAGAUGGGGAUAGCUGCUAGAAAUAGCAGGUAAUACCGAAUACACUCGAUAUUUCAUAAGAAGUGUUGAGGAAAGGAGGCUGCGGCCUCGCUUGAGGAUGAGCUUGCGUCCCAUUAGCUAGUUGGUGAGGUAAAGGCCCACCAAGGCGACGAUGGGUAUCCGGCCUGAGAGGGUGAACGGACACAUUGGGACUGAGAUACGGCCCAAACUCCUACGGGAGGCAGCAGCUAAGAAUAUUCCGCAAUGGACGGAAGUCUGACGGAGCGACGCCGCGUGGAUGAAGAAGGCUGAAAAGUUGUAAAAUCCUUUUGUUGAUGAAGAAUAAGGGGAAGAGGGAAUGCUUCUCUGAUGACGGUAAUCGACGAAUAAGCCCCGGCUAAUUACGUGCCAGCAGCCGCGGUAACACGUAAGGGGCGAGCGUUGUUCGGAAUUAUUGGGCGUAAAGGGCAUGUAAGCGGUUAUGUAAGCCUGAUGUGAAAUCCCGGGGCUUAACCCCGGGAAUAGCAUUGGGUACUGUAUAACUUGAAUUAC
Molecule: ribosomal RNA, 542 nt
Filed under: uncultured bacterium
Lineage: Bacteria
Description: bacterial SSU rRNA
Rfam family: Bacterial small subunit ribosomal RNA
Source: RNAcentral